UGCAUAUCAAAAAGCGGAGGAAAAGAAACUAACAAGGAUUCCCCUAGUAACGGCGAGUGAAGCGGGAAGAGCUCAAAUUUGAAAUCUGGUGGCCUCAGGUCAUCCGAGUUGUAAUCUAUAGAAGUGUUUUCCGUGCUGGCUCAUGUACAAGUCCCUUGGAACAGGGCGUCAUAGAGGGUGAGAAUCCCGUCCUUGACAUGAACUACCAGUGCUCUGUGAUACAUUUUCAACGAGUCGAGUUGUUUGGGAAUGCAGCUCAAAAUGGGUGGUAAAUUCCAUCUAAAGCUAAAUAUUGGCGAGAGACCGAUAGCGAACAAGUACCGUGAGGGAAAGAUGAAAAGCACUUUGGAAAGAGAGUUAAACAGUAUGUGAAAUUGUUGAAAGGGAAACGAUUGAAGUCAGUCGUGCUCUUUGGAUUCAGCCGGUUCUGCCGGUGUACUUCCUUUGAGUGGGGUCAACAUCAGUUUUGAUCGCUGGAUAAAGGCUGGAGGAACGUAGUACCCUCGGGUAAACUUAUAGCCUCCUGUCACAUACAGUGGUUGGGACUGAGGAACGCAGCACGCCUUUAUGGCCGGGAUUCGUCCACGUACGUGCUUAGGAUGUUGACAUAAUGGCUUUAAACGACCCGUCUUGAAACACGGACCCA
This 646-nucleotide ribosomal RNA is filed under the name Filobasidium magnum. RNAcentral describes it as "eukaryotic LSU rRNA". It matches the Rfam family "Eukaryotic large subunit ribosomal RNA", at positions 37 to 669 of the family's 3401-position model. The record is from RNAcentral. Lineage: Eukaryota; Fungi; Basidiomycota; Tremellomycetes; Filobasidiales; Filobasidiaceae.